RNAcentral lists this ribosomal RNA (467 nucleotides) under Corynebacterium sp. HMSC072B09. RNAcentral's name for it is "bacterial LSU rRNA". It matches the Rfam family "Bacterial large subunit ribosomal RNA", at positions 1897 to 2363 of the family's 2925-position model. Lineage: Bacteria; Bacillati; Actinomycetota; Actinomycetes; Mycobacteriales; Corynebacteriaceae. The record is from RNAcentral.
GGUCGAAGCGGAGAAUUUAAGCCCCAGUAAACGGCGGUGGUAACUAUAACCAUCCUAAGGUAGCGAAAUUCCUUGUCGGGUAAGUUCCGACCUGCACGAAUGGCGUAACGACUUCCCUGCUGUCUCAACCACAGACCCGGCGAAAUUGCAGUACGAGUAAAGAUGCUCGUUACGCGCGGCAGGACGAAAAGACCCCGGGACCUUCACUAUAGCUUGGUAUUGGUGUUCGGUUCGGUUUGUGUAGGAUAGGUGGGAGACUGUGAUGCCUCAACGCCAGUUGGGGUGGAGUCGUUGUUGAAAUACCACUCUGAUUGUAUUGGACAUCUCAACCUCGGCCCGUGAUCCGGGUUAGGGACAGUGCCUGGUGGGUAGUUUAACUGGGGCGGUUGCCUCCCAAAGAGUAACGGAGGCGCCCAAAGGUUCCCUCAGCCUGGUUGGCAAUCAGGUGUUGAGUGUAAGUGCACAAG